Molecule: long non-coding RNA, 1104 nt
Filed under: Capsella rubella
Lineage: Eukaryota; Viridiplantae; Streptophyta; Magnoliopsida; Brassicales; Brassicaceae
Description: long non-coding RNA (CRUB_LNC001525)
Source: RNAcentral
GGUGUUGCUGAUAUAGAAAUGGCAGAUGCAUAUCCUUGAGAGAGAGAUUAAAGCCAUGGUACCAACUUGGAUCCAUUUCUUCGAUAACGACUCUUCCUAUUUCCACUCUGUUUCUGUUCUUUUCUUUUUUUUUUUUUGAUUUGUUUCCCUCUCUUCUCUUUAACUUAUCUCUUCCACUACUCGCAAUUCUAAACCGUUCUUUAUGUUGAGUAUACUGAAAAGAUUGGUUUCUAUAUUGUCGUUGAUUCAACGGGCUAGAUAGAAUUAGAGAGGGGUAUUGUAACAGUGUUACCUGGUCCAAUAUCGAGUCUUGAUUACUAUAUUUACAAUGUCACUUAUAUACUUGUUUGUACAUUAUAACUUUAAAAGAGAGUGAAGUACUCCAAAGUCACAAUUAAGUUCGACUUUUGAUGUUAUAAAAAGUUUACACGUUCUAGUCUCUCUUGCGUGUCCAAAAAGAUUACGGAUCAUUGUUCGAAAUUUCAUAUUCAUCUAGUAGUAAUAGGUCAGACUCAUGUGAAAUUUAUAUGUCUCCAUCUUCGUCUUGUCAAUUUAUCACUCUCAUGUAUUUUUCAAUCGUUUUUAUUUUUUUUGGUAUUCACUUCCGAAAAUGACUAGUCUUCAAUUUUUAUUUAUGUGGUGAUACGUUUCUGUAAAUGAUCUACGUACCUUCAUAAGAAAUGUGAAGCCUCAAAAUAGAUUUACCAAUAAUAGAUUUGUUUAUUUCAUUGGUGUUUACCAGUGAUUUUUAAAAUAAACAUUUAUGUUGUGUGUAUGCUUUGAAGGUUAGAACAAUUGUCACCACAGAUGUAGAUUGAUGAAAGUGUCCCAAACUCCCAAUGCUGGAAGGCUGAUACAAGUGAUCUCAUUGGUUAGGGAGCCAAGCUGAUACAAACCAGGCUGCGAGGUUACUUAUACGAUUAACUCCUUUAGGUUCCGAAUGGUAACCAUACCGCACUAUAAAAUCGCACCGCAACAGUGUUGUAAUAGUGUCAAAAUAUAUGCAUAUACAUAUAUAUCUAUAUAUUUUCGUUACUAUUUGAACCGCACUGUACUUCUCCCGCAAUGAAAAACGCAGUUACCAUUUGGAACCUUAAUCACGUG